CCUACGGGAGGCAGCAGUAAGGAAUAUUGGUCAAUGGACGCAAGUCUGAACCAGCCAUGCCGCGUGAAGGAUUAAGGUCCUCUGGAUUGUAAACUUCUUUUAUCUGGGACGAAAAAAGGCGAUUCUUCGUCACUUGACGGUACCAGAUGAAUAAGCACCGGCUAACUCCGUGCCAGCAGCCGCGGUAAUACGGAGGGUGCAAGCGUUAUCCGGAUUCACUGGGUUUAAAGGGUGCGUAGGCGGGCAGGUAAGUCAGUGGUGAAAUCCUAGAGCUUAACUCUAGAACUGCCAUUGAUACUAUCUGUCUUGAAUAUUGUGGAGGUAAGCGGAAUAUGUCAUGUAGCGGUGAAAUGCUUAGAUAUGACAUAGAACACCUAUUGCGAAGGCAGCUUACUACGCAUAUAUUGACGCUGAGGCACGAAAGCGUGGGGAUCAAACAGGAUUAGAUACCCUGGUAGUCCACGCCCUAAACGAUGAUUACUCGACAUUUGUGAUACACUAUAAAGUGUUNUGAGAGAAGANAUAAGUAAUACCACCACGGAAGUACGACCGACGAGUUAGUAACGUACGAAAGAAGUUAGACGGACGUUAGAGAGAGCCGACGGACGACGACGAGGGAGGAGG
RNAcentral lists this ribosomal RNA (624 nucleotides) under uncultured bacterium. RNAcentral describes it as "bacterial SSU rRNA". The stretch from base 1 to 537 matches the Rfam family "Bacterial small subunit ribosomal RNA", at positions 338 to 873 of the family's 1533-position model. The record is from RNAcentral.